RNAcentral lists this ribosomal RNA (910 nucleotides) under uncultured archaeon. RNAcentral's name for it is "bacterial SSU rRNA". It matches the Rfam family "Archaeal small subunit ribosomal RNA", at positions 23 to 920 of the family's 1478-position model. The record is from RNAcentral.
CCGACUGCUAUUUGGGUGAGAAUAAGCCAGGCGAGUUGAAUGGGAUACCUAAAUUUCCCAUAGCAAACUGCUCAGUAACACAUGAUCAACUUACCCUAUAGAGAAAAAUAACCUCGGGAAACUGAGGAUAAUGUUUCAUAAUUGAAUUGGCUUGGAAAAGUUUUUCAAUGAAAAGGAUAAAAAAAAUGGUUUUUAUCUGCUAUAGGAUAGGAUCGUGUUCGAUUAUGGUUGUUGGUGAGAUAAUGGCUCACCAAGCCGAUAAUCGAUAGGGGCCGUGAGAGCGGGUGCCCCGAGAUGGGUACUGAGACAACGACCCAGGCCUUACGAGGCGCAGCAGGCGCGGAACCUCCGCAAUACACGAAAGUGUGACGGGGUUACCCAAAGUGUUCAAUAGAACUGUGGUAGGUGAGUAAUGUCCCCUACUAGAAAGGAGAGGGCAAGGCUGGUGCCAGCCGCCGCGGUAAAACCAGCUCUUCAAGUGGUCGGGAUAAUUAUUGGGCUUAAAGUGUCCGUAGCCGGUUUAGUAAGUUCCUGGUAAAAUCGGGUAGCUUAACUAUCUGCAUGCUAGGAAUACUGCUAUACUAGAGGGCGGGAGAGGUCUGAGGUACUACAGGGGUAGGGGUGAAAUCUUAUAAUCCUUGUAGGACCACCAGUGGCGAAGGCGUCAGACUGGAACGCGCCUGACGGUGAGGGACGAAAGCCAGGGGAGCGAACCGGAUUAGAUACCCGGGUAGUCCUGGCCGUAAACGAUGCAUACUAGGUGAUGGUACGGCCAUGAGCCGUAUCAGUACCGUAGGGAAACCGUUAAGUGUGCCGCCUGGGAAGUACGGUCGCAAGGCUAAAACUUAAAGGAAUUGGCGGGGGAGCACCACAAGGGGUGAAGCCUGCGGUUCAAUUGGAGUCAACGCCG